This is a long non-coding RNA of Homarus americanus (American lobster), 425 nucleotides long. RefSeq lists it as uncharacterized. The transcript is spliced from 2 exons. NCBI's taxonomy places the organism in Eukaryota, Metazoa, Arthropoda, Malacostraca, Decapoda, Nephropidae. The record is from RefSeq and is a predicted model, not a curated record.
AGAGGUCCUGGCCGAGCUGGCGUCCAUGGCGGUGGCUGCAUCUGAAACCGAUUCCAGAGACCCGUCUGUGAAGCCCUCAGAAGAGGCCUCUCAGGAGUCCUCGAUGCCGUGGAAGCUGUGAUAGCCUCCAUAAAGCCACAAUCCGAGGCAGAGACACCAACUGGUACUGAUUCUAGUAGCCAGGGCGGAUACUAGUGCAGGCGCUGAAGGUGAUGCCGAUGGUGACAGCGAGGGUGAUGCAGCUGACACAGGCAAUGAAACCACGAGGAACGACCAGGCCAGCGGGACUGCGGAAGUAGGAGGGCCGAAGACCCCCAGCAGCAACACCUCCACCACUACUACUAAUUCACCAAUCGAAGCGGCAGUCGCUGACGAAGGUGAUCAGGAGACCUCUGAAGAACCAGACACGAAGGAACCCGAGGAGA